CUUCACCGAGCCCAGCCACAGCGGUUCCGCGCGGUCCUGGCCGUAGGUGGCCAUGAGCGCCUGGGCCUC
Streptomyces sp. SirexAA-E is the source of this 69-nucleotide non-coding RNA. It matches the Rfam family "ASpks TB sRNA". The record is from Rfam. Lineage: Bacteria; Bacillati; Actinomycetota; Actinomycetes; Kitasatosporales; Streptomycetaceae.